UCACUAUACCUUUUUCUUCUGGCCCAGGUAAGGCGAGUCUUGCACUGCACUCAACAUGGUUCAUCUGUAAGUUCACAGCAACUGUUGCUUUUCAUUCAUUUGCAGCAGAAUAUUUUCAGUUUACCAUAAGGGUUUGUGGUUCUCUCAUUCAUCCCAGGUUUUUGCUCAAUGGAAAUAACCAAGGUGAUUAUAUCCAGAGUCUAUUCAUAUUACUUGAUGUAUACAUCCUAUCUGUAGCUAGUUUUGCUUAAAUUACAUUGAGAUUCAUAUUGCUAGACGAUAACUCCAUUGUUUGCAGCUCCGUUGCAUACUUAAUCUGAGUUCAGACUGUUCUUGGUUUUUACUUUUUACGAUUAACAUUGGAAAUAAUAGCUCUAGAUGGUGGUGAGUGUGCGAGAGUAAAUCCUGCAUUUUGGUGCAGUUCCAGCAGCAUGUAUUGUAAGGGUAGCAAGAUUUACGCAAACCUGGCAAAUGCACUAGCGAAGUGUCUGCAUUCUCCUCGCAUUGGACAGGCAUUGCAAUUGGGCUUGCUUUUGGUACAGAAUACCUGCACAAUCUCAAACCUUCUUAGAUUCUGCUUCUCACUAACCAAAAAAAAAAAAAUAUGAACAUGUAAUUUCAAGUUUAAAGUAAGUAAAAUGCACCUUUCCAAAAGUGAUCAUCUGGUAAUGCAGUUCAUACCUGUUAAUUGAUUCUGCAAUGGAUUAGUGAACAAUUUUAAUCAAGAAUAACUUGACAAAUUUUAUGGCAUAUGCAUUUAUCAUUCAAGAGUGUUAAAUCAAGUGGAGUUUAUCUUUACAGUGUUCUCUGGUCAAGCUUGCACAGUCGGGGCCAAAGAUGUUUUUGAAUUGAUUCCAGCACAGGGUACCUGUGCAUGGACAACAGUAGAAAUGUUGUUUUUAGUAAGCGCAGUUGAUGUCAUUUGUGUUUUAGUUUGUAGUACUAACAGCUCUAGAAGGUGUAAUUGAAGUGAUUCGGGCAGUGGCUGAAGAGGGACCCAGCCCAAUCGUACAGCUAUACGUCCAACAUUUGUGUCAACCUGUUAAACAUUGAUAAAGGUUGAUAUAUGUUCCGUUCGUUUCUGAUAGAAGUUAAACUAGUUUAAACUUACUGGAAAAGCAAGAUGGUGAAGUGUGAGAAGCCGUACACACUCCACACUUUUCAGUCCCAGUCCCCUUAUGCUUAGUAGAUACUCUCUACAAAAACAUUUUAUAUUUCAGUAUAUAUUUUAAUAGACCAAACAAGCAAUAUACUUUCUAUUUACCAUAUGAUAUUACUAGCAAAAACUCAUGUCUUGGUGAUACACUAACUGCUGAAGUCGUCUAUUGAUGUGUUCAACCAGUUCUAAAACUAAUGCUUAGAAUUAAUGCUUUAUGCUUACUUCGCUUUGUCUGGUGGAACAUCUCUCAGCCAUUCCAGAUCAAUGCUUCCGUGUUCUCUAACCAGUCGAUUAAGAAAAUUCUGGAUGAAUAUAGUGGUUAGUGUCAACUGACCCGAAGGGCUCAUUGUGAGUAAAAAAGAUUUUUUUUUUUUUAGAAUUUAAUCUGGGUCCUUCUGGAAUGUAAUAUAUUUGUACCUUUAUACGUUCUGCAAGCACAUUGUUCAUCCCACGCUCCUUGAUUGCAUUGGCAAUCUCAUUAACAUCUGCACAUCUUACAGCUUCCCAGUCCAAUGAGUCCAUUGUGUUCUGUGUUCUUUGUCUUUUCUUCUCAUUUGCUUCUGCCUGUUUUCUUAACUCAUCCCAGUCAACAUGUUCUCUUAUCUCCUUUCCAACCCUUCUGCUUUUUGCUUUUCUGGUGGCAGCAUUCAUUUCUUUAGUCUCCUUAAUUUCUGCAAGGCCACGUUCAAUCAAGUCUGGUUCUGUUGUUUUUGGUGAAUUCUUUUGUUGUGGAUUAAGUCCGCUGCUACUUUCCACAAUAUCUAAGCUUUCUCCUGGGUUUGACAGUGACACGUACAGAUUUUCCUGCAUUUCAUUGUUUUGCAUCUGAUCCAAUGAUUUGCUGAAAAUGGGAAGGUCUUCAACAAGCUUUCCUUGAGUUUGUGUGGUUGUGUGCUUGCCUUGAAACUUGCUGCAUGAUGGAUUAUUUGGAGUUGGAGAUAUGGAUGCUUCUUGAGCAGCAAUGGUCAUAUUAUUUUCAUCUGUAGUUUGACUGGUACAUUCUGAUGUAAAUAAACUUGGUUCUUUCACAGAGUUUCUUCUGUGGUUCUUUGAUAUUUCAUAACAUCUUGUUUCCUCGGUAAACAUCUCAUAGUACUCAAAUCCCACGCCUCCUAAGUUGGAAAUAAGAUGCGAUUGACAGUUAUUGGAUGGAAUCGCAGAUGCUUCUAAGGUGCUUCUAGGGCAAUCUACAUUGUAUUUCUUAUGCAUGUGGAAGUCAUUUCCUGCAUUUUGGGUUUUGUUACACUCAUCUUUUGAGUUCUGAUCAGGAAAGACUCUGUCAUAUCCAUGGCUCUGGACUUCAUGUAGCUUGUUAGAUCCAGCCUUUAUUAAAAGCUCCAUAAAAGAACUAGAGCUGUUCCAACUAUUGAAUUUAGAUCUAUCAAUUAAAUCUUCUGCUUCUGAGUUCCCUGAGAAUGAUUCUUUUCUUUCAGCAGCUUGAGCAGUUGGUGAAUCCACAGAGUUUUGAGAUGAAAUAACAGAAUUUUGAGAUGAAAAUGCAUCAUUUAUCUCGCUUCUCUUUUCCCUUGUAUAACCAUUAUUUGCUGUCUUGGUGGUAUCUGUUGUUAAUCUGUUUACCUUUGAUUCAUAGUAUGUCUCUAAGCCACUUAUAGAGCUAAUAAUCCCAAUACUGCUUGUAGAGGAUGCAUUGCUAUUCACUACCUCUUGUUCCUCAUCAAGCUCAGACUCAUGGAGGGUCAUGGAACUUUGGUCACAAAUUGAUUGAUUUGGUGUCCCAUUCCAUUUUAUGGCUUCUUCUAGAUCUGGCAUGCAUGCUAUUGGUUUCUCAAUUACUGAGCUUGUUCUUUCUUCAAAGCAUUGAUUGUUAGCCGACUUCAAAGGAAAACGCGCAGCAAGUGACAUGAAUGCAGAACUGCAGAAAAUAAUCAGUAAGAGGUUUUUCUUCUCCUUUUCUGCCUCUAUACAGUGAUAAAAUAAUCUAGGAGACUCAUUUUUACCUAGAAAGAUGGUCAGAGACAUUUUGGGUAAGAAAUACUCCAAUCACCGAGUCAACAACUGAUCCCUUCCAUUGAGAGAAGCGCCUAUCCCCUGCAGAAAUGAUAUUAUACCAUUUGUCCAUAAAUUAGCAAGUUAAAAUUGUCAAAGGAAAGCUGUCUAGAUCGAGUUUCUGGUUAAGAUGCUUAUACACAUUAAAGUUAAGUUGUUCUGAGAUUUUAUCUAUGUAUUUUGGAUGCUACUUUCCUAUAUUUUCAAGUUUGAGUAAGAUGCAUUCCUUGCUAAUGAAUUGUACAUAGUUUUGGCUGUUGAAGUACUGUAGUGCUUGUAGAAUAGCUAAUUAUAAAUUUCCAAAAUGCACAACUAUAAGGCCCUGCUCAGUGCCAAUGAAGUUCUGCCUUCAAAAUCUUUCAAGUUCCUGAUUGGUCAAUUAUGCUGCCUGAUAAGCUACAAUUUGAUGGCAUUGAGAUUUCAGUUUGAACUACUUUUGACUCUGAGAGAUACUAGUGAUAUGUUUGCAUUCAGUAGACACAUCGUAAAUAAUUUCUGAAAUCCUAAUAGUCCAUGCUUGAUAUAUGCAAAGCCUUUCAUUGUUGACAUAUUCAUCUCACUAAGGAGUCUACCUAUAAUUUAAUGAUGGUAAAUUUCAGUUAGCAUAGCCUAUAUUUUCCUGGAUUUACUUGGCUAUUAAUCACCAUGAAGUCCAAUAAAUGGUAUAAGCUUUAGAUAGAUCGCAAUGGUGUACCUUGUACAAGAUGCAUUCGUGCUAUAAAUGAGUUCGCACGCCCAUGGAAAACUUUUCGUUCUUCUUCCCACCACUUCUCCUUCUCUUCAUCAGUUCCAUCAAUGCCUUCACCAUUGAUGUUUCCCAUUAGAAGUUUCCAUACUUUGUUAGUUUCUUCAUCGAGGUAAACUUUAGGUCGUGGACGUCGUUUCUUGAUGGGUACAAAUGAGUCAGCAAAGGGUAUAAUAGUGCCAUCUCUUCUAUAAAGAACAAGUGCAUUCUGUUCAUUUCCAAUAUAGUAAGGAACAAGAGCACUCUGUUCUUUAUAUGCUAUGCCACCAUUUUCCCUAUUAAUGUUUAGAUGCUGUAAUUGCUCAACUAUAGCAUCAACGUGAGAUAUGCCCCAUAUUACUUCUGGAGGAGUACCUGCAUCAAAAGGCUGCUUGAAUGAGGAAUACUUGAUAUAGUAUUUAGAUAACUUAAAAGCUAUGAUGAUAACUAUCUCGUAACAGUAGUUAUUAUUCCUCAACUAAAGUUCUAUUUCUCACUUGAAGUACCUAGUGACUGGGCUAAGAAUUGGCUCUGAUUGCAUAAGAUGAUUUUCCCAUGUGAUUGCUCCCAAUUUGUGGGGGAGGAUGUGGAAUUAAUUAGAGAGACGUUCUUCUUACUUCUCUUUGUUGUCAGUGUUCCACACAUUUCUUCUGCUAAAGCCUCUAUACAUUCAUGAGGUCUAUUUGAGUCCUCAACUUGCUGUACAUUAUAAUCUGCUGGUAUGAGUCCAACUGUGUAAGUUUGACGCAUCAGGCCCCUCAUUUUGGUUACUUGAGCCAAAUCUUGAAUUUGAGUAGGACCUCGGGGUCUCUUUUUUGUUGACCUCUUCUUUUGGUUGGCAUUGGGGCCAGAAUUUUGCUUUUCAGACUGAAGGCUGCCUGUUUCUCCAUGUGCAUCUGCAUUAGCAGUGCAUGGGGCAGAAAUCAAAUAAUUGGAUGUUGAGAUAGAAGGAUCUACUCUGGCAUCCUUUGGUGGGCAUGUCAUUACUGUUCUUCCUAUGUCUUUUGCAAAAGUCAUACAGGAUUUGCCGGAUGCAGCUGAAUUUUGUCCCUUUUCAGUCUUUUUCUUUAAAAUGCUUGAAAGUGUUCUCUGGUACGUAGGUAAAGAAUUGUACUGAAUCCCAGAUAGAUUUGUGCUGCAGGAAUCUGGCUGUUGAAUGGAACUGAAAAGCUUCCUUUUUGAUCCAUUUUCUUUUCCUUCAUCUGGCAAAAUUGUGCAGGUUCUGCAGGUGGAGCCAUCUGGAUCUACUGAUGGCCGUUCAGUGUCAGCUGGCAACAUGAUUUGUGUGGUUUUCUGCUGUACAGUACCAGUCACUUGGUUUUCCUCUUUGGCAUGGCUCUCCUGUGAGUUGUCAUUCUGUUCUUCC
This 5256-nucleotide long non-coding RNA is filed under the name Manihot esculenta (cassava). RNAcentral's name for it is "long non-coding RNA (MESC_LNC005267)". Lineage: Eukaryota; Viridiplantae; Streptophyta; Magnoliopsida; Malpighiales; Euphorbiaceae. The record is from RNAcentral.